Molecule: long non-coding RNA, 557 nt
Filed under: Pan troglodytes (chimpanzee)
Lineage: Eukaryota; Metazoa; Chordata; Mammalia; Primates; Hominidae
Description: lincRNA
Source: RNAcentral
AAUUCAUAGUCCAUGCUCAAGAUCGAAUGGCAUCUCUCAGACUGGAAAACCUUUCUGAAGUCAGUUCCAGACAUCCCUGGAAGCCUGGAUAAUUUGGGAAAAGGCUGACUCAAUGUAAGUUUGGCACCUUUCCAUGACAAGGAUCUCUACAGGACUCUGCCUGAGAUAGUUUGAGAAAUUUUAUACAUUCCUCCAAAGAGGAAGAAAUUAAAAUUGAGAGAGGUUAAUAAUUGUGCCCAAGGCUACACAGCUACUAAGCAAACCAGAUCUAUGCUCAAAGCCCAUGCAGGACUGUAACCACGGUGCAAGACCAAUCCUCCUGCUUGGAGAACUGAUCCAACUCCACACCUGUAUCUUCAGGUUGGACUCGCUUCUUCAACCCAUGUACAUGUCCAGUAUUCCCUCAUCAUUGACAAAUACCUUCCUUUGACUUUACUGAUUCUCUGACUACCACCUUUUCAAUGAAGAAAGACUUCCCUGGCCAGGUGCCAUCCCUCGGUGCUUCCACGGUUACUGACGCGUGUAUUCUCCACAGCAAUUACAACUGGAUCAAAAUC